RNAcentral lists this ribosomal RNA (481 nucleotides) under uncultured bacterium. RNAcentral describes it as "bacterial SSU rRNA". It matches the Rfam family "Bacterial small subunit ribosomal RNA", at positions 28 to 507 of the family's 1533-position model. The record is from RNAcentral.
GACGAACGCUGGCGGCGUGCCUAACACAUGCAAGUCGAACGGGACUUAGCGGAAAGCGGCUUCGGCCAAUGGAAACUAAGUUUAGUGGCGAACGGGUGAGUAACGCGUGAGAAACCUGCCUUUCAGUGGGGGACAACAGUUGGAAACGACUGCUAAUACCGCAUAACAUACACGGACCGCAUGAUCUGUGUAUCAAAGCUUAAUGUGCUGAAAGAUGGUCUCGCGUCUGAUUAGCUAGAUGGCGGGGUAACGGCCCACCAUGGCGACGAUCAGUAGCCGGUCUGAGAGGAUGAACGGCCACAUUGGGACUGAGAUACGGCCCAGACUCCUACGGGAGGCAGCAGUGGGGGGAUAUUGGACAAUGGGGGGCAACCCUUAUCCAGCGACGCCGCGUGAGGGAAGAAGGUUUUCGGAUUGUAAACCUCUGUCAGUGGGGACGAUAAUGACGGUACCCACGGAGGAAGCCACGGCUAACUACGUG